RNAcentral lists this ribosomal RNA (253 nucleotides) under uncultured bacterium. RNAcentral describes it as "partial 16S ribosomal RNA". It matches the Rfam family "Bacterial small subunit ribosomal RNA", at positions 524 to 776 of the family's 1533-position model. The record is from RNAcentral.
UACGAAGGGGGCGAGCGUUGUUCGGAAUUACUGGGCGUAAAGGGCGCGCAGGCGGCUCUGAAAGUCAGAUGUGAAAGCCCCGGGCUUAACCUGGGAACUGCAUUUGAUACUCUGGAGCUUGAGUACGGGAGAGGAUAGUGGAAUUCCCAGUGUAGAGGUGAAAUUCGUAGAUAUUGGGAAGAACACCGGUGGCGAAGGCGGCUAUCUGGACCGUAACUGACGCUGAGACGCGAAAGCGUGGGGAGCGAACAGG